GAACAGAACACAAGUCACAACACAACAAACAUCAAGUUGAUAAUUUAAUCAAUAUGCCACUGGCAUUAAUAAAACCAGGCUGCUGAACCACUAGCUACUGGCCUUUGGCCAUACAAAUCUGCAAGGGUGACGGAACACAAAAUUAUUACCUGCUGAUAUUAACAUGUAAGUGGCAAUCAUAGGUGUAUUCUGUGUGAAGUUCAUACAGAAGAUCAACAGUUAUACCUCGACUUUUAUUGUCAAUUGUAUUGAGAAUUUUGAAAAUCCAUGCCAGAGAUCUUCGUACGAAGAUCUGGGUGGAAAUACUUAACCCUUUAAGUGGCAAUGCAUCCUACUUUAUUAUUUUACUCUGUCUAAUGCCAGACGAUUUACUCAUCAGGGGAAUGUGCUGCCACAGUGCCACUCAAUGAGUUAAGAGUAAGAUUGUCUGACAUUUGGGGGCAUUGCUAAUCAAUGGGUUAAAAUUCAAUUCAAAAUUUUAAAAAAAUUAAACAAAAAAAAAGUUUAAAAAAUUUAACACUGAGAGCAAAAAAAUAAACAAUAUUAAAAAAAUUUAACACUGAGAGCACGAAUUUAUAAACCUUUCCCUAGAUGUAUACACAGUGGCAUCAUUCUAGUUUUAAUAUUUUGCAAUGCAAAUGUGUCUUGAAUAUCAUUACUUCCAAACAAUAGUUUAUAGGUCUUUUUACAUUUGUCUCUUAGUAAAGUUGUACAUGUUCCAUCAGUGUAUUCUCUAGACAGCAGUAAACACAAUCUUUUGCAAUCUUUUCCAUCAGUGUAUUCUCUAGACAGCAGUAAACACAAUCUUUGUGACAACAACUUCGACUUUCUUCUUAUACACGUUUUCAACAUGAUUGAAACCUUUGUCUCACUUGUUAAGACCAACGGUAAUAAUAAACCAGCUUCGCCAAAUAUCCCGCACUCCUGACAGCUGACAUUCGUCAAAAUUUUCCGCCUUUUUGCUUGCUUAUUUUACUACAAACGCAUCUAAAACUAAGCAGUAUCCCCCUAUAUUUGUUAUUUUAUCCAUCUGAAGCCAAUCGGCAC
Molecule: non-coding RNA, 1047 nt
Organism: Paramuricea clavata
Lineage: Eukaryota; Metazoa; Cnidaria; Anthozoa; Malacalcyonacea; Plexauridae
Source: the annotation of a GenBank genome assembly